UUUUUUUCUUUUUCUUUUUUAAAUUUUUCUCAUUCUUUGUCUCUCUUUCCUUCUGUUCUUUAGGUUGCUUUCUACAAGGGUCAUAGAUUUCACAAGUACAUUACCACCAUUCACUGAAAGCCCUACCUUUGUUAAUGAAGCUGUAGGUCUCUCAUUUAUUGAAGACUAGAACCUUGGGAUGCCUGAGUGGCUCAGUGGUUGAGCAUCUGCCUUUGGCUCAGGUCAUGGUCCUGGGAUCUUGGGAUUGAGUCACACAUCAGGCUCCCUGCAUGGAGCCUGCUUCUCCCUCUGCCUGUGUCUCUACCUCUCUCUCAGUCUCUGUGUCUCUCAUGAAUAAAUAAAUAAAAUCUUAAAAAAAAGUCUAGGACCACAGCCACCUUUCUAAAUAUGGAUAGCAAAAGCAAAGGGUGCAUUAGUCACUUAGCUGUCAAUUAUUUUUCAAAAAUCUCCCUUACAUUGAUCUCCUUUCACCACGGCUAAAACAUUUAUGUAGGCUUUUAUCAUUGCAUGCUUGACUACUGAAAUUUUCCUUUUAUUAUUUUGAAUCCUCCUUAUUUGAAAAGAAUGUUCAUACUGAUUUACAGUAUGAGACACAGGUAUAUGUCUUUGCUUAGAUGUCACAUUUCAGUAAGGACUGCCCUGACCACUACACUGCCAUCUACUUUCCCCCGAAACUACCUAACCUCCCUCAUCUUGCUCUGAUUUUUCUUUUUUUCUGAGAAUUUAUGAAAAGGCACUCUAAUCUAUAUUAGAGGAAUAUAAUGGAAUUAUAUACUAUAUAUGCUCUAUGCUGUAUAACCUCUGAUACAUGACAUAACUUCCUUUUAUAUUAUGAUUAUUGUCUGUCUCUCUUUGUUAGAAUGUAAGCUCAUAGGAGUGGGGGAUCUUUGCUUUGUAUUGUGUUUUGUUCACCUAGAAUAGAGUUUGACAUUUAAUGGGUUUUAAUACAUGUUCGUUGCAUUAAUAAGUAGAACUAUUAAAAAACAGAUAAAUGUUGUAUUGAAGUAAGAGAAACAAAUAAAUGAGGGCCGCCUGGGUCGUGCAGUAGGUUAAGUGUCCCACUCUAGGUUUCUGCUCAGGUUGUGAUCUAAGUCAUGAUCUCCAGGUCGUCAGAUCGACCCCUGUGUUGUGCUCUGAGUGGAGCCUGCUUGGAUUUCU
Molecule: long non-coding RNA, 1158 nt
Filed under: Canis lupus familiaris (dog)
Lineage: Eukaryota; Metazoa; Chordata; Mammalia; Carnivora; Canidae
Description: lncRNA (ENSCAFG00805020618.1, ENSCAFG00845024368.1)
Source: RNAcentral